Molecule: ribosomal RNA, 482 nt
Filed under: uncultured bacterium
Lineage: Bacteria
Description: partial 16S ribosomal RNA
Rfam family: Bacterial small subunit ribosomal RNA
Source: RNAcentral
GGGGGAGGGGGGGGGGGGGGGGGACGCGGGCAGGGCGAACGGGAGCGGGCGGCAGGGUGCGGACGAGUGGCGGACGGGGGAGUGAUGCAUCGGAACGGGCCCAGGCGUGUGGGGGAACUACUCGCAAGAGUAGCUGAUAGCGCAUACGAGCUAUGGAUGAAAGCGGGGGACCGUAAGGCCUCGCGCGAGUGGAGCGGCCGAUGUAAGAGUAGGUAGUUUGUGGGUGAAAGGCUCACCAGACCAACGAUCGGUAGCUGGUCUGACAGGACGACCAGCCACACUGGGACUGAGACACGGCCCAGACUCCUACGGGAGGCAGCAGUGGGGAAUUUUGGACAAUGGGCGCAAGCCUGAUCCAGCAAUGCCGCGUGCAGGAAGAAGGCCUUCGGGUUGUAAACUGCUUUUGUCCGGAACGAAACGGCUCUGGUUAAUACCCGGUGCUAAUGACGGUACCGUAAGAAUAAGCACCGGCUAACUACGUG